Molecule: ribosomal RNA, 646 nt
Filed under: Candida tropicalis
Lineage: Eukaryota; Fungi; Ascomycota; Pichiomycetes; Serinales; Debaryomycetaceae
Description: LSU rRNA
Rfam family: Eukaryotic large subunit ribosomal RNA
Source: RNAcentral
CAUAUCAAUAAGCGGAGGAAAAGAAACCAACAGGGAUUGCCUUAGUAGCGGCGAGUGAAGCGGCAAAAGCUCAAAUUUGAAAUCUGGCUCUUUCAGAGUCCGAGUUGUAAUUUGAAGAAGGUAUCUUUGGGUCUGGCUCUUGUCUAUGUUUCUUGGAACAGAACGUCACAGAGGGUGAGAAUCCCGUGCGAUGAGAUGAUCCAGGCCUAUGUAAAGUUCCUUCGAAGAGUCGAGUUGUUUGGGAAUGCAGCUCUAAGUGGGUGGUAAAUUCCAUCUAAAGCUAAAUAUUGGCGAGAGACCGAUAGCGAACAAGUACAGUGAUGGAAAGAUGAAAAGAACUUUGAAAAGAGAGUGAAAAAGUACGUGAAAUUGUUGAAAGGGAAGGGCUUGAGAUCAGACUUGGUAUUUUGUAUGUUACUUCUUCGGGGGUGGCCUCUACAGUUUAUCGGGCCAGCAUCAGUUUGGGCGGUAGGAGAAUUGCGUUGGAAUGUGGCACGGCUUCGGUUGUGUGUUAUAGCCUUCGUCGAUACUGCCAGCCUAGACUGAGGACUGCGGUUUAUACCUAGGAUGUUGGCAUAAUGAUCUUAAGUCGCCCGUCUUGAAACACGGACCAAGGAGUCUAACGUCUAUGCGAGUGUUUGGGUGU